RNAcentral lists this ribosomal RNA (394 nucleotides) under uncultured bacterium. Its description in RNAcentral is "bacterial SSU rRNA". It matches the Rfam family "Bacterial small subunit ribosomal RNA", at positions 32 to 407 of the family's 1533-position model. The record is from RNAcentral.
AAUCAACGCUGGCGGCGUGCUUAACACAUGCAAGUCGAACGCGAAAGCCCUUUCGGGGGUAAGUAGAGUGGCGUCCGGGUGAGUAACACGUAGGUAAUCUACCUUCGGGUGGGGAAUAACUCGCCGAAAGGCGAGCUAAUACCGCAUAAUGCAGCGGCACCUAAUGGUGAUUAGUUGUUAAAGCGGGGGAUCGUAAGACCUCGCGCCUGAAGAGGAGCCUGCGGCAGAUUAGCUAGNGGUGAGGUAAUGGCUCACCAAGGCUUCGAUCUGUAGCUGGUCUGAGAGGACGGCCAGCCACACUGGCACUGACACACGGGCCAGACUCCUACGGGAGGCAGCAGUGGGGAAUUUUGGGCAAUGGGCGCAAGCCUGACCCAGCAACGCCGCGUGAGGG